ACGAUAAUGCUUCAGAAACGAUAGUUUAGCUUUUGAAUUAGCAUCUGAAUUUCAUCCCUUCCUGAGAUUGUUACCACGAUGACAUGAGUUGGAUAAUCCAGAGCUGAUGGAAAUGUUUUUCUGGGAGUUUUCAGUCUCAGAAACAGAUGAGUUAAUUCUGAAUUCUGGUUUUCAAGUAUAGCUACAGAUUCUGUCUCCUCAACUCCUGCUCAGCCUGAAGGAAGUGACACAAAGUUUAUUUUCCUCAUACUAAGGGGGCAGGUGGGCGGCGUGGACACCUAAGUUUGUGAAUGUGAUAACGUAGGAGCUUCAAAUUGAUGCCAUAUGUGCAUCUGCCAAAAGUCUCGGAUGAGUUUGGAUCUGUGACCUCAAGGUGUCAAGGUCAGAGUAAGUUUUCUGAAAAUCUUCUCAAUGUGAUAACUUAAGAACACAGUGAUGUAGGAUUUCCAAAUUGAUACCAUAGGUGUCUCUACUAAGAGGCUGAGGAGUCGCGCUGCUGGUUGCCAGUGUUCUUCCUACAUUGCAUUGGCAUCAGUUUUUUAAUCACCUCUUGGCUGGUUUUGAGUCUGCAAUCAAAAGGCCAGUCUUUCUGUAAAGAGCAAUGUCCGUUCUUGCACCCAGACAUCACACAGAGGGGAUCCUUCAUUAUGAGGCAGCUGUCAAGUUCUGGUCUCUGUUUAAACCCAGGAUACUUUUUGUUUUGUAUUUUGUCACCUUAUUGGAGUUAUUAAUCAUUAGUCCUGCAUGUGUGAUUGCUGCCAUCUGCAUUUUAACAUUGUCAUAGACUGAUGGUAUUUGGAAAGGCUCCAUCCCUUUGAAAUGAACAAAUGAAUUAUUGUUUUAUUCCUGACUAAAAGUUAACCUGCCUGUUAUUACCCUGUGCUUAACUGUGAUUACGUGGUGAACGCAAACUCGAGGCACGUUGUUUCUUGUGUUGUGGAACUAAAACGUCUCAUAUUUGGGGGAUUUUCAGUUCAAAGUUGAGGUUGUUGUCACACAAUUCACGUUGAGCACUCAAAUGCAGCCAGUUGUAAGAGCAGAUGCUGCUGCUUCAUGUCUGACUAACACAAGUCAAAUGGAUUGUAAAGAACAGUGAAAGUUCUGUUCCUUUAAUAAUUGUUAUUUGGGACUGUGAGUCAGUAUGAGACCUGAGAAUUCAAGAUAUUUAUCUGCUGCACUUGUACACUUGUGUUAAAUUGGACAUGUGGACAAGCAGCAUUUGAUGAGCA
Oreochromis niloticus (Nile tilapia) is the source of this 1229-nucleotide long non-coding RNA. RefSeq lists it as uncharacterized. The transcript is spliced from 2 exons. The record is from RefSeq and is a predicted model, not a curated record. Lineage: Eukaryota; Metazoa; Chordata; Actinopteri; Cichliformes; Cichlidae.